Molecule: ribosomal RNA, 253 nt
Filed under: uncultured bacterium
Lineage: Bacteria
Description: partial 16S ribosomal RNA
Rfam family: Bacterial small subunit ribosomal RNA
Source: RNAcentral
UACAUGGGGUGCAAACGUUGCUCGGAAUUAUUGGGCGCAAAGCGCACGUAGGCGGUUCGUUAAGUCGGAUGUGAAAGCCCUCGGCUCAACUGAGGAAGUGCACCCGAAACUGGCGAGCUUGAGUACGAAAGAGGAUCGCGGAAUUCCCGGUGUAGAGGUGAAAUUCGUAGAUAUCGGGAGGAACACCGGUGGCGAAGGCGGCGAUCUGGGUCGAUACUGACGCUGAGGUGCGAAAGCGUGGGGAGCAAACAGG